This 1265-nucleotide ribosomal RNA is filed under the name metagenome. RNAcentral describes it as "bacterial LSU rRNA". It matches the Rfam family "Bacterial large subunit ribosomal RNA", at positions 1046 to 2291 of the family's 2925-position model. The record is from RNAcentral.
CCCAAAGUCUCGGCUAAGUGGUAAGCGAUGUGAGAAGGCAUAGACAGCCAGGAGGUUGGCUUAGAAGCAGCCAUCCUUUAAAGAAAGCGUAAUAGCUCACUGGUCUAGUCGGCUCGCGCGGAAGAUAUAACGGGGCUCAAGCCGAGCACCGAAGCUAUGGGUGUGUAGCAAUACACGCGGUAGGGGAGCGUUCUGUAGGCCUGCGAAGGUGUGCUGCGAGGCAUGCUGGAGGUAUCAGAAGUGCGAAUGCUGACAUGAGUAACGUUAAAGCGGGUGAAAAACCCGCUCGCCGAAAACCCAAGGUUUCCUGAGCUACGUUAAUCGGCUCAGGGUGAGUCGGAUCCUAAGGUGAGGCCGAAAGGCGUAAUCGAUGGACAUCAGGUUAAUAUUCCUGAACCGACAAUUACUGCGAUGGGGUGACGGAGAAGGCUAAAGCAGCGGCAGAAGUGCCGUCCAAGCAUGUAGGCGGAUCUUCCUGGCAAAUCCGGAAGGUCAUUCAACGCCAAGGUGUGAGUGCGAGUCGAACCGCAAGGUAAGACGAAGUGUUUGAUGCCCCGCUUCCAGGAAAAGCCUCUAAGCUUCAGGUAAUUGUUGUCCGUACCGUAAACCGACACUGGUGGGUGAGCAGAAAAUCUGCUUAGGCGCUUGAGAGAACUCUGGUUAAGGAACUCUGCAAAUUGAUACCGUAACUUCGGAAGAAGGUAUGCCUUUUUUGGUCACUGGACUUGCUCCAGGAAGCUGAGAGAGGCCGCAGGUAAUCGAGGGCUGCGACUGUUUACCAAAAACACAGGACUCUGCGAACACGUAAGUGGAUGUAUAGGGUCUGACGCCUGCCCGGUGCCGGAAGGUUAAUUGAUGGGGUCAGCCGCAAGGCGAAGCUCUUGAUCGAAGCCCCGGUAAACGGCGGCCGUAACAAUAACGGUCCUAAGGUAGCGAAAUUCCUUGUCGGGUAAGUUCCGACCUGCACGAAUGGCGUAACGCUGGCCCUACUGUCUCGACCAGAGACUCAGUGAAGUUGAAAUCGCUGUGAAGAUGCGGCGUAGCUGCGGAAAGACGGAAAGACCCCGUGAACCUUUACUACAGCUUUACGCUGAACUUUGAAUUUGUUUGUGUAGGAUAGGUGGGAGCCUAUGAAGCAGGGGCGCUAGCUCUUGUGGAGGCGACCUUGAAAUACCACCCUGAUAACUUCGGAGUUCUAACCUAGUCCCGUAAUCCGGGAUGGGAACAAUGUAUGGUGGGUAGUUUGACUGGGGCGGUCUCCUCUC